UGGAAAGAGCAAGCAGAGAAGAAGAAAACAGACAACCCUGGCAAUAGGUUCUGAAGGAUGAAUAGGAGUUUGCCAGGUGCAGGCAACAUUCCAGGCAAAGGGAACUGCACAUGAACAGAGGCCCUGCAUCCAUUCACCACAUAUUUAGUAAGUGCCAUUAAGGUGUUGG
Long non-coding RNA from Zalophus californianus (California sea lion), 169 nucleotides. RefSeq lists it as uncharacterized. The transcript is spliced from 3 exons. The record is from RefSeq and is a predicted model, not a curated record. Lineage: Eukaryota; Metazoa; Chordata; Mammalia; Carnivora; Otariidae.